AUUGAACGCUGGCGGCAUGCAUAACACAUGCAAGUCGAACGGUAACAGGUGUAGCAAUACAUGCUGACGAGUGGCGGACGGGUGAGGAAUGCUUGGGAAUCUGCCUGUUAGUGGGGGACAACCCGGGGAAACUCGGGCUAAUCCCGCAUACGCUCUACGGAGGAAAGCGGGGGACCGUAAGGCCUCGCGCUAACAGAUGAGCCGAAGUCGGAUUAGCUAGUUGGUGGGGUAAUAGCCUACCAAGGCGACGAUCCGUAGCUGGUCUGAGAGGACGAUCAGCCACACUGGGACUGAGACACGGCCCAGACUCCUACGGGAGGCAGCAGUGGGGAAUAUCGGACAAUGGGGGCAACCCUGAUCCAGCAAUGCCGCGUGUGUGAAGAAGGCCUGCGGGUUGUAAAGCACUUUUGGCAGGGAUGAAAAGCACUGGAUUAAUAAUCCAGUGUGUUGACCUAACCUGCAGAAGAAGCACCGGCUAACUCUGUGCCAGCCGCCGCCGUAA
RNAcentral lists this ribosomal RNA (502 nucleotides) under uncultured bacterium. RNAcentral's name for it is "partial 16S ribosomal RNA". It matches the Rfam family "Bacterial small subunit ribosomal RNA", at positions 30 to 523 of the family's 1533-position model. The record is from RNAcentral.